RNAcentral lists this ribosomal RNA (253 nucleotides) under uncultured bacterium. RNAcentral describes it as "partial 16S ribosomal RNA". It matches the Rfam family "Bacterial small subunit ribosomal RNA", at positions 524 to 776 of the family's 1533-position model. The record is from RNAcentral.
UACGGGGGGAGCAAGCGUUGUUCGGAUUUACUGGGCGUAAAGGGCGCGUAGGCGGCGCAACAAGUCACUUGUGAAAUCUCCGGGCUUAACCCGGAGCGGCCAAGUGAUACUGUCGUGCUAGAGUGCGGAAGGGGCUACUGGAAUUCUCGGUGUAGCGGUGAAAUGCGUAGAUAUCGAGAGGAACACCUGCGGCGAAGGCAGCACUCUGGGACGUGACUGACGCUGAGACGCGAAAGCGUGGGGAGCAAACAGG